AUGGACGGAUGCUUCAAGUUACUCUACAUUUCAAAUCUUUUGUUACAAAUGAAUCGUAUGCAUCCGCUCGUCUCGGCCAAUUUCGACUUGCACCAACCGACUUUUUAUCCCGCCGAGCCGUUGAGGGAAAAAGACGUGCUGCGGACACUGCGCGAGGAUCAUUUGACCAACUGGAGCUGGUUGGACGAGAUGGAGCCGCCGGGCCCCAACACGGUGGCCAUCCGCCGCGGCCACGACCCCCACACCCGCUCUUGGAUCGUCUUCCGCACGACGAAGCGCGGUACCACCCUCUACAAGGAGACAUUCACCAACGAGGACGCUGCCAUGUCCUUCUUCCUCGAUCGGGUCCGCUUGAUCUCCAUCUGCGUCGAGCCCGUCACUCCGCAUAUAGUCGACAGCGAUGAGAUUUACGAUAUUUUCGACCAACAACGUGCUCAGCAGGCUAAAAAUGAAUAGACCGUAGAAUAAUAGCUACCGAGGUAACUGUCAGAUCCUCCCAUAAGAUCGCGUACAUUUUCGAAGCGGACUUGGAGUCGAUUCCCCGCAAAAUUUGAAACGGCAGGCUCCGCGGGGAUUUCAAGACUCGGAGCAAAGAUGGCCGACUGCUGCCCUUCUGCAGGACGGUAAGGAAGUCGGUGCCACCCGCGCUCGGAUAGGCCUGGCGGUCCCUGCUGAAUUUUGACCCGAGGGAUCGCGCUUACGGAAUCAUAUAUUGUGAUAUCCAAAGUGAAAAAUGGUCGGGGAAAAAGGAAAGCGACACAAUCCGUGGAGAAAAUUACCAGCUCAGAAACAGUUGUAUUUCUUCUAUUUUCAACGAAGUUUUUCAUGGAUUUUUUUGUUUAAUAGUAGUUCCUUCAAGCAUAAAAAUUGACCCCUACGCCUUUAGGUAAUCUUGCACGCAUCGUUUGUACACAUGUUCUCAAUUAAAUCCAAAGGAGCUAAAAUUAUUCGGACAUGAGCCCUGGUACGCAUGUAUUCUCAUGGUUUUCAAGGUCCAUGCCUCAAAUGCACAUAGUUCCUUUUGAUUUAAAUGCGUCGAAUUAUAAGAAGCUAGUUGGUAAGGUUCUUGCUUACGAUAAAAGUAGUAAUAAGGCAGUAGAGCUCGAAGAGUGGCGUCACAUGGGGUCACGUGACCCUCCAUUGCCUUCAAAGAUUGUCGGGCCGACAAGCUUUGAGGGUGACGAGACCCCACGUGACGCCACUUUGAGAGUUCUACAUUGAUCAUCUGAAACGGGCUUAGAAUAAUAGCCAUCUGGUACCCCCAUGGCCGGAAAAAUAGAAAGAUCGCGCGGCGGGCCCCGCGCCUUUGCGCCCUCUGAAAGAUCGAUUAUACAGUUCGUCCCGUCGGGAGAUUCCCGGUUUUUCGUUAUUUCCAGGUUCUUCUUUUUUCGGUCAGCUUAUAAUUUGACUGCCAGAGACGUUCGUCGUCAUGGAAAUCGCCGUGAGUGAUGGAUUUACGGCAGAAACAUACUUCAAGAUGUUUCUAAGUAGAGAAAGUAUUCACACAACGGGAAGGAAGUUCGGAGAUAAACUUUUGAACGAGGAAUUAACAAAUUCAUGACCAAAAGGCGAAGCCACGGAUCUUCUUUUGCGACGUUGCAGAAGCAAACUCCCCUGCCAUACUCAACAUAAUUUAUUUAAAACCAUCUUAAAUUUUCUUCUCCUUCGGCAGAAUAUUCUAUAAAUAUUUCAAGCUAUAAGGCAACAAGGCUAUGGUGUUUCUUUCUCCUUUAUAAAAAAUUGAAAAAAUGAGUAAACCAAAAGCAGGAAAAAUCCACAAUCAUUCGAUCCUAAGAUUGCAGGCUCGCGGUAUGAACACCAAUAGGCAACAAGGAUAUCUAUUGCUCGACGUUGAACUCGAGAGAUCGAAAUUCUAACGCAAGAUUAACUCCUAACCGUGGUAAUGACGUUUUUCUUGAAUAAAUUUAACCUUUCCGCUCAUGGAAGAGGGAAUACUUUACUUCAGUAAAAUUCCCCGUCAAACGCCACUAUGACAGUCUCAGUAAUUUGAAAAUAUGGCAACCUCAAUCUUGACUCUCAGUUCAAGCUGCACACACUUUGAACAACUCAGUGUGGGAAAGAAACAAUGCUCGAUUGAGUAGUCUGCUAAAGCCGUUGUAGUGCACAGUUUGACUCACGAAGGGUUUUGUUUUUCUUGUGACCGGGUAAUUUAAAGUUCUCGUAACCAACGGACAAUAAAAACGUUCAUAUGUAUCUUAGAUAGAAGUUGAUUUCGGUAGUUUUCGUUGCGCGAAUCGUGUUCUGCGUGAAAUUUUGUUGAAAAAGCAUGUAUUAGAGAGCUUAAAUUCGUACUUUGUUUAAUGGUCAAUUCAAUAAUAAAAAGAAAAGAAGGAAAAAGAAGAAAAAAAAACCGAAUGUAGAGCGCUUGCCUUACUUUUCUCAGGGAAAAAAUGUUAUCGGGAGAACGAGGCAACGUUGGAAUGCUCAUACGGCGUCGGAACACAACAUGGGCCGUUUAAGCCCCGUUGUUCGAUGCCGCGAUUAUCUAACGCAAGUUCGAAUAAUCGCAACAAACACGGUGCGGUCGAUGUCACAUUCAUAUCAGCGCCGCUAGUUAAACAGAAUAUCUGUAAGAAUACUUCAACGCCUCGCCAAAUA
This 2619-nucleotide long non-coding RNA is filed under the name Bemisia tabaci. RNAcentral describes it as "lncRNA ENSSWEETPG000087". Lineage: Eukaryota; Metazoa; Arthropoda; Insecta; Hemiptera; Aleyrodidae. The record is from RNAcentral.